This is a long non-coding RNA of Andrographis paniculata, 1605 nucleotides long. RefSeq lists it as uncharacterized. The transcript is spliced from 5 exons. Lineage: Eukaryota; Viridiplantae; Streptophyta; Magnoliopsida; Lamiales; Acanthaceae. The record is from RefSeq and is a predicted model, not a curated record.
CGGGGCCUACUUUCAUCGACGAUUAAGAUUUGAUAUUGAGAUGAUGAUCGCAGGAACUCUCCAGAUUCAAGAGAAUCCUAUGUUGCUUUGCGUCGGUCGCGUGGAAUCGGCAUGGGUGGAGCGAUCAUUCCGGAAUACAGAGGCGAAUUUGAGCUCAAAUUGCAGGAUUAGAAAUUGCUUUCCAAUUACUGACUGCGUUCUUUCAAUUUUGGCUGCAAUCAAAUUUUGGUUGCAUUUCCUGUAAGAGCGUUGUUGGAUCGAUAUCGCUGUAAUGCAUUUGCUGUUUGGACGAUAGAUGAGUUUGCGUUUGGCUUAUUUAAUUGAAAGUGUGUUUUCGUUGCUGAAAUGUCUUUUUGAAUCAAAUCAAUCUCCAGUCAAUACUGCACCAGAAGAGCAACCAGGAAAAAGCAACAGAACUAUGAGGUGCGAAGCUACAACCCACUGCAAAUCUUGGUCAUAAAUUGAUUGAAGGUACUUGGAUCAUAUCUACCUCUCUCAUAUUAUUAUGAUAGGGCUGGCGUGAAAAAAGGCUCAUGCCCUGCAAUCGAGAGCUACUCAAAGGCUGCCUAAUCUGAAGCAGAUAGAUGCCUAGUGGAAAACACGUUACUUUCCCAAAUAAGACGAGGCACACAAGGGAAUCAAAUCCAUGGAUCCCCUCAAUUAGGAUCACGUACGUCGACUAGGUACCUUUAUCAUUAUUAUAAUUAUUCAUUUCAUAAUUUUGUGUGGCGAACUGAUAGCGUUUGAAUAACAUGUUUUAGGAAUCUUGAAUUGAAUACCCUGUUUUUUUUGUUUUUUUUUUUUUAUUCAUUAUAAUUUUUCCUAGUUUCCCAACUUGGUUGUCUUCAUUCUAGUGGAUCAUGAAUCAUCUUCAUCAUCACAAUCAUCAUCCCUUCUUAGGUCAGUCAGCUGGAAAAGACCUACAGAAUUUUAUUUACCGUUGGUCGUGGCUUAUUCUCAGAAAAUUAUUAUAUUCUGAUGAUCCAUCUUUAUUUUGCUCAACUUAUAUGCUCUUUUUCAUUAGAUUGGAUGACUAAUUCAGGAUAGAUGCUGCUGCUGCUUCUGAUUCCUAUCCAUUUUUAAAAAAUCGUGAGGAUUUCCAGCCCUUGGAAUUAUAUCUUCAACUGCAACAAGAAAGUAAUCCAGCCAUUGGUGUAUACCAAAAAGAAGAAUCAUUGGCAGCCAUCCAUUUCUGAGAAUGGCAGAAUCAUGUACUGCUACAGACACAAUUUGCCACCACAGAGGUCUGAAAUGUGACUUUCUGCACUGAAACAAACUACAAGUAUUUAUUUAUGUUGUACAGCUUUGUUCCAUGUCUAGGAAGAAUAUUUCACCUGCUGCUUUAUUGUAGUUUGAGCCUAAAUUUCAUCAAUGGAAAAAAAAAAAAAAAAAAGAAUCCAUUGUGACCACCAUUAUUUCAUGUGGCUUCAUUUUGUUAUGGUUUCUUCUUCAGGGUAUUUUAUUUUUAUUUUUAUUUUUGAAAAAAAUAAAAUACUUUAGCAGGUGAAAUAUUGAGUGGGAUUUACACUUUCCAGGUCAAUUCUGUCUGAAACCUUGUAACUGUCCAAAACAUUUACUAUAUCAACGGUGAAAGCGUUUGAGUUA